This 320-nucleotide unclassified non-coding RNA is filed under the name plant metagenome. RNAcentral's name for it is "partial contains 5.8S ribosomal RNA, internal transcribed spacer 2, and large subunit ribosomal RNA". The stretch from base 1 to 105 matches the Rfam family "5.8S ribosomal RNA", at positions 50 to 154 of the family's 154-position model. The record is from RNAcentral.
GAAAUGCGAUAAGUAAUGUGAAUUGCAGAAUUCAGUGAAUCAUCGAAUCUUUGAACGCACAUUGUGCCCGCCAGUAUUCUGGCGGGCAUGCCUGUUCGGGCGUCAUUACAACCCUCAGGCCCCCGGGCCUGGCGUUGGGGAUCGGCGGAAGCCCCCUGCGGGCACAACGCCGUCCCCCAAAUACAGUGGCGGUCCCGCCGCAGCUUCCAUUGCGUAGUAGCUAACACCUCGCAACUGGAGAGCGGCGCGGCCACGCCGUAAAACACCCAACUUCUGAAUGUUGACCUCGAAUCAGGUAGGAAUACCCGCUGAACUUAAGC